GUAUGGUGCAAGCGUUAUCCGGAUUUACUGGGUGUAAAGGGAGCGCAGGCGGUUCUGCAAGUCUGAUGUGAAAGCCCGGGGCUCAACCGCGGGACUGCAUUGGAAACUGCGGGACUGGAGUGUCGGAGGGGUAAGCGGAAUUCCUGGUGUAGCGGUGAAAUGCGUAGAUAUCAGGAGGAACACCGGUGGCGAAGGCGGCUUACUGGACGAUGACUGACGCUGAGGCUCGAAAGCGUGGGGAGCAAA
Molecule: ribosomal RNA, 246 nt
Filed under: uncultured bacterium
Lineage: Bacteria
Description: partial 16S ribosomal RNA
Rfam family: Bacterial small subunit ribosomal RNA
Source: RNAcentral